GGCUGUNUUCAGCUCGUGUUGUGAAAUGUUGGGUUAAGUCCCGCAACGAGCGCAACCCUUAUCCUUUGUUGCCAGCGGUUAGGCCGGGAACUCAAAGGAGACUGCCAGUGAUAAACUGGAGGAAGGUGGGGAUGACGUCAAGUCAUCAUGGCCCUUACGAGUAGGGCUACACACGUGCUACAAUGGCGCAUACAAAGAGAAGCGACCUCGCGAGAGCAAGCGGACCUCAUAAAGUGCGUCGUAGUCCGGAUUGGAGUCUGCAACUCGACUCCAUGAAGUCGGAAUCGCUAGUAAUCUGA
Molecule: ribosomal RNA, 299 nt
Filed under: uncultured bacterium
Lineage: Bacteria
Description: partial 16S ribosomal RNA
Rfam family: Bacterial small subunit ribosomal RNA
Source: RNAcentral